GAUAAUAGACUGAUCUUCUUCAAGAGCUCACAUCGACAGAAAGAUUUAGCAUUUUGAUGUCAGCUCUUCGCCACCUAGGGUGGUAGUAUAUUUCAAGUUUGGGUUGUUCACCCAUUAAGCGGUACGUCAGUUGGGUUCAGAAUCGUGAGAAGUUUC
RNAcentral lists this non-coding RNA (156 nucleotides) under Capsicum annuum. Its description in RNAcentral is "Bacterial large subunit ribosomal RNA". It matches the Rfam family "Bacterial large subunit ribosomal RNA", at positions 2473 to 2632 of the family's 2925-position model. The record is from Rfam by way of RNAcentral. Lineage: Eukaryota; Viridiplantae; Streptophyta; Magnoliopsida; Solanales; Solanaceae.